This 492-nucleotide ribosomal RNA is filed under the name uncultured bacterium. RNAcentral describes it as "partial 16S ribosomal RNA". It matches the Rfam family "Bacterial small subunit ribosomal RNA", at positions 28 to 507 of the family's 1533-position model. The record is from RNAcentral.
GGUGAACGCUGGCGGUAGGCCUAACACAUGCAAGUCGAACGGCAGCACAGUAAGAGCUUGCUCUUACGGGUGGCGAGUGGCGGACGGGUGAGGAAUACAUCGGAAUCUACUUUUUCGUGGGGGAUAACGUAGGGAAACUUACGCUAAUACCGCAUACGACCUACGGGUGAAAGCAGGGGAUCUUCGGACCUUGCGCGAUUGAAUGAGCCGAUGUCGGAUUAGCUAGUUGGCGGGGUAAAGGCCCACCAAGGCGACGAUCCGUAGCUGGUCUGAGAGGACGAUCAGCCACACUGGAACUGAGACACGGUCCAGACUCCUACGGGAGGCAGCAGUGGGGAAUAUUGGACAAUGGGCGCAAGCCUGAUCCAGCCAUACCGCGUGGGUGAAGAAGGCCUUCGGGUUGUAAAGCCCUUUUGUUGGGAAAGAAAAGCAGCAGGUUAAUACCCCGCUGUUCUGACGGUACCCAAAGAAUAAGCACCGGCUAACUUCGUG